Molecule: ribosomal RNA, 262 nt
Filed under: uncultured bacterium
Lineage: Bacteria
Description: partial 16S ribosomal RNA
Rfam family: Bacterial small subunit ribosomal RNA
Source: RNAcentral
CGCGGUAAUACGAAGGGUGCAAGCGUUACUCGGAAUUACUGGGCGUAAAGACCUCGUAGGCGGUUUGGUAAGUCAGCGGUGAAAUUUCGGAGCCCAACUCCGAACGGUCCGUUGAUACUGCCAUGACUUGAGUCCGGUAGGGGAGUGCGGAACUCCUGGUGUAGCGGUGAAAUGCGCAGAUAUCAGGAAGAACACCGGUGGCGAAGGCGGCACUCUGGGCCGGUACUGACGCUGAGGAGGGAAAGCUAGGGGAGCAAACAGG